UACGUAGGGGGCUAGCGUUGUCCGGAAUCAUUGGGCGUAAAGCGCGCGUAGGCGGCCCGGUAAGUCCGCUGUAAAAGUCAAAGGCUCAACCUUUGAAUGUCAGUGGAUACUGCCGGGCUAGAGUCCGGAAGAGGCGAGUGGAAUUCCUGGUGUAGCGGUGGAAUGCGCAGAUAUCAGGAGGAACACCAGUGGCGAAGGCGGCUCACUGGUCCAUUACUGACGCUGAGGUGCGAAAGCGUGGGGAGCAAACAGG
This 253-nucleotide ribosomal RNA is filed under the name uncultured bacterium. RNAcentral's name for it is "partial 16S ribosomal RNA". It matches the Rfam family "Bacterial small subunit ribosomal RNA", at positions 524 to 776 of the family's 1533-position model. The record is from RNAcentral.